UAGGGAAUAUUGCGCAAUGGGCGAAAGCCUGACGCAGCAACGCCGCGUGGGUGAUGAAGCUUCUUGGAGUGUAAAACCCUGUCGGUGGGGAAGAAACGUACGUGGAGUAACUGCCACGUGCCUGACGGUACCCACAGAGGAAGUCCCGGCUAACUCCGUGCCAGCAGCCGCGGUAAUACGGGGGGGACAAGCGUUGUUCGGAUUCACUGGGCGUAAAGGGCGCGUAGGCGGGCCUUCAAGUCAGAUGUGAAAUCUGCCGGCUUAACCGGUAGCCUGCAUCUGAUACUGAGGGUCUUGAGUACGGAAGAGGAGAGCGGAAUUCCAGGUGUAGCGGUGAAAUGCGUAGAUAUCUGGAAGAACACCAGUAGCGAAGGCGGCUCUCUGGUCCGAUACUGACGCUCAAGCGCGAAGGCUAGGGGAGCAAACA
Molecule: ribosomal RNA, 427 nt
Filed under: uncultured prokaryote
Description: bacterial SSU rRNA
Rfam family: Bacterial small subunit ribosomal RNA
Source: RNAcentral